RNAcentral lists this ribosomal RNA (253 nucleotides) under uncultured bacterium. RNAcentral's name for it is "partial 16S ribosomal RNA". It matches the Rfam family "Bacterial small subunit ribosomal RNA", at positions 524 to 776 of the family's 1533-position model. The record is from RNAcentral.
GACGGAGGGCGCGAACGUUGUUCGGAAUCACUGGGCGUAAAGGGCGCGUAGGCGGGCCGGUAAGUCGAGGGUGAAAUUCCAGGGCUCAACUCUGGAACUGCCUUCGAAACUGCCAGUCUUGAGUGCAGGAGAGGAAGGCGGAAUUCCAGGUGUAGCGGUGGAAUGCGUAGAUAUCUGGAAGAACACCAGUGGCGAAGGCGGCCUUCUGGACUGACACUGACGCUGAUGCGCGAAAGCUGGGGGAGCAAACAGG